This 497-nucleotide ribosomal RNA is filed under the name uncultured bacterium. RNAcentral describes it as "partial 16S ribosomal RNA". It matches the Rfam family "Bacterial small subunit ribosomal RNA", at positions 28 to 507 of the family's 1533-position model. The record is from RNAcentral.
GAUGAACGCUGGCGGCGUGCCUAAUACAUGCAAGUCGAGCGAACGGACGAGAAGCUUGCUUCUCUGAUGUUAGCGGCGGACGGGUGAGUAACACGUGGAUAACCUACCUAUAAGACUGGGAUAACUUCGGGAAACCGGAGCUAAUACCGGAUAAUAUUUUGAACCGCAUGGUUCAAAAGUGAAAGACGGUCUUGCUGUCACUUCUAGAUGGAUCCGCGCUGCAUUAGCUAGUUGGUAAGGUAACGGCUUACCAAGGCAACGAUGCAUAGCCGACCUGAGAGGGUGAUCGGCCACACUGGAACUGAGACACGGUCCAGACUCCUGCGGGAGGCAGCAGUAGGGAAUCUUCCGCAAUGGGCGGAAGCCUGACGGAGCAACGCCGCGUGAGUGAUGAAGGUCUUCGGAUCGUAAAACUCUGUUAUUAGGGAAGAACAUAUGUGUAAGUAACUGUGCACAUCUUGACGGUACCUAAUCAGAAAGCCACGGCUAACUACGUG